Long non-coding RNA from Gadus morhua (Atlantic cod), 688 nucleotides. RefSeq lists it as uncharacterized. Lineage: Eukaryota; Metazoa; Chordata; Actinopteri; Gadiformes; Gadidae. The record is from RefSeq and is a predicted model, not a curated record. The transcript has 2 exons.
AUGCGCUGACUCCUCCCAUUUAACUCGCACCGUAGUAGAGGUGUGUAGCCACACGUCUCCAUCAUAGGUCGUUCUGUCGCUAUACCUAGAUGAGCACAACGGGAGUAUUCGUUAUCCUUUCAAUGAAAGGAUCUAGGAUCUAAAGACCGCCGUGUCUUGAUCAUGGGUGUACUUUGAGACCGAAGUAUAACAUCCAUUGCCUCAACUCCUUUGGUUUUGAGCUCUCAAAUGGUCCUCAAUCUGUUGCUUGAAGAACAGCUCCCCCAAGCGGCUAUGCGAGGCCUCGCUCAUGGCCUUGGUCUGCAUACACAUCUUGUACUUAUCCGGAGUCAACUCAUCCGCACAGUGCUUCUCAUGCCAGAAGUGAAAGAGGCCACGCGAGGGAGAACGAAUCACCAUGAGCUUGCUGUGAAGAUACUUCCUGUACAGAUGCACGUCCUCCAAUCCCCAACCUUUGAUGCUCCGAUCGAACCCACCUACCAGGAAGCAGGUUAGCAAUGUUAGUUCUGGAUAGGGUCCAUAGACGUGUGAUCGUCAACAGAUAAAGGCAUAUACGUUACCUAUGUUGAGGAAAUCGGAGCGGUACUGGCAUGUCAUACCAAAACCAAAGUCCCUCCAGAACCCUGUGUCCUUUUGUAUCACCUGUUUGAAAUGACAAAGUGUAAUAUUAAAAACUAGUAAAAUACAA